UACGUAGGGUGCGAGCGUUAAUCGGAAUUACUGGGCGUAAAGCGUGCGCAGGCGGUUUUGUAAGUCUGUCGUGAAAUCCCCGGGCUUAACCUGGGAAUGGCGAUGGAGACUGCAAGGCUAGAGUUUGGCAGAGGGGGGUAGAAUUCCACGUGUAGCAGUGAAAUGCGUAGAGAUGUGGAGGAACACCGAUGGCGAAGGCAGCCCCCUGGGCCAACACUGACGCUCAGGCACGAAAGCGUGGGGAGCAAACAGG
Molecule: ribosomal RNA, 253 nt
Filed under: uncultured bacterium
Lineage: Bacteria
Description: partial 16S ribosomal RNA
Rfam family: Bacterial small subunit ribosomal RNA
Source: RNAcentral